This is a long non-coding RNA of Solanum dulcamara, 421 nucleotides long. RefSeq lists it as uncharacterized. The transcript has 3 exons. NCBI's taxonomy places the organism in Eukaryota, Viridiplantae, Streptophyta, Magnoliopsida, Solanales, Solanaceae. The record is from RefSeq and is a predicted model, not a curated record.
AGAACAAACUAAUCAAUUAAGUUUACCCAAUAUUCUAAGUACUCCUUAAUUAAGAGCUAAGCAAUUCUAAGACAAACGGAGUACUUUGUGAAGACACGACAUGGAUGAUAAUGAGCUUGAAGCAACAGAAUUUUCCAUCGCGCCAUAUGGAUGAGCGGAGAAGUAUUUCGAGGACUAAAUAGGAAACUUUCAUAAUUGUCCACAACCUUUGGAGUGAUGGAGCAUUGUCAGGAAUCAGGUUAUGUGGAGGCAAGUCACAUAGAAUUGGCUAUUGUCACUAUCUCAAAAUUUGAUGGCGGUUAUCCGUUGUGUUGUAUUGUAUUGUAUAGUUAGUUUAAAUAAUAUGUUUGUUUUGAUUAAGUAACAAUUAAAAUAAAUAUUAUAUUUAAACUAAUAAUACAAAUGGGUUUUUAAUGUUGAA